UUCCGGUUGAUCCCGCCGGACCUGACUGCUAUCGGAUUGAUACUAAGCCAUGCGAGUCAUUGUAGUAAUACAAGGCAGACGGCUCAGUAACGCGUAGUCAACCUAACCUAUGGACGGGAAUAACCUCGGGAAACUGAGUAUAAUGCCCGAUAGAACAUUAUGCCUGGAAUGGUUUAUGUUCCAAAUGAUUUAUCGCCGUAGGAUGGGACUGCGGCCUAUCAGUUUGUUGGUGAGGUAAUGGCCCACCAAGACUAUUACAGGUACGGGCUCUGAGAGGAGUAGCCCGGAGAUGGGUACUGAGACACGGACCCAGGCCCUAUGGGGCGCAGCAGGCGAGAAAACUUUGCAAUGUGCGAAAGCACGACAAGGUUAAUCCGAGUGGUUUCUGCUAAAGGAACCUUUUGUUAGUCCUAGAAACACUAACGAAUAAGGGGUGGGCAAGUUCUGGUGUCAGCCGCCGCGGUAAAACCAGCACCUCAAGUGGUCAGGAUGAUUAUUGGGCCUAAAGCAUCCGUAGCCGGCUCUAUAAGUUUCCGGUUAAAUCUGUACGCUCAACGUACAGGCUGCCGGGAAUACUGCAGAGCUAGGGAGUGGGAGAGGUAGACGGUACUCGGGAGGAAGGGGUAAAAUCCUUUGAUCUCUCGAUGACCACCUGUGGCGAAGGCGGUCUACCAGAACACGUCCGACGGUGAGGGAUGAAAGCUGGGGGAGCAAACCGGAUUAGAUACCCGGGUAGUCCCAGCUGUAAACUAUGCAAACUCAGUGAUGCAUUGACUUGUGGUCAAUGCAGUGCUGCAGGGAAGCCGUUAAGUUUGCCGCCUGGGAAGUACGUACGCAAGUAUGAAACUUAAAGGAAUUGGCGGGGGAGCACCACAAGGGGUGAAGCCUGCGGUUCAAUUGGAAUCAACGCCGGA
Molecule: ribosomal RNA, 914 nt
Filed under: uncultured archaeon
Lineage: Archaea
Description: bacterial SSU rRNA
Rfam family: Archaeal small subunit ribosomal RNA
Source: RNAcentral